This 446-nucleotide ribosomal RNA is filed under the name fungal sp. SF(I)3B-4. Its description in RNAcentral is "eukaryotic LSU rRNA". The stretch from base 93 to 246 matches the Rfam family "5.8S ribosomal RNA". The record is from RNAcentral. Lineage: Eukaryota; Fungi.
UCCUGCUUCUUCAAGGCUAUGUUUUCAUAUACACUAUAAAGUUACAGAAUGUCUUUUAACGAUUGCGCUUGUCGUAGUCAUUAAACCUAUACAACUUUCAGCAACGGAUCUCUUGGCUCUCCUAUCGAUGAAGAACGCAGCGAAAUGCGAUAAGUAAUGUGAAUUGCAGAAUUCAGUGAAUCAUCGAAUCUUUGAACGCACCUUGCGCCCUUUGGUAUUCCGAAGGGCAUGCCUGUUUGAGUGUCAUUAAAUUAUCAACCUUGCUCGCUUUUACCGGCUUGAGUUAGGCUUGGACUUGAGGGCUUGCUGGCUUCCUUCAGUGGAUGGUCUGCUCCCUUUAAAUGCAUUAGUGGGAUCUCUUGUGGACCGUCACUUGGUGUGAUAAUUAUCUAUGCCACUUGACCUUGAAGCAAACCUUAUGGGAACCCGCUCAUAACCGUCUUCGG